AACGAACGCUGGCGGCGUGCCUAAUACAUGCAAGUAGAACGCUGAAGAGAGGAGCUUGCUCUUCUUGGAUGAGUUGCGAACGGGUGAGUAACGCAUAGGUAACCUGCCUUGUAGCGGGGGAUAACUAUUGGAAACGAUAGCUAAUACCGCAUAACAAUGGAUGACUCAUGUCAUUUAUUUGAAAGGGGCAAAUGCUCCACUACAAGAUGGACCUGCGUUGUAUUAGCUAGUAGGUGAGGUAACGGCUCACCUAGGCGACGAUACAUAGCCGACCUGAGAGGGUGAUCGGCCACACUGGGACUGAGACACGGCCCAGACUCCUACGGGAGGCAGCAGUAGGGAAUCUUCGGCAAUGGGGGCAACCCUGACCGAGCAACGCCGCGUGAGUGAAGAAGGUUUUCGGAUCGUAAAGCUCUGUUGUAAGUCAAGAACGAGUGUGAGAGUGGAAAGUUCACACUGUGACGGUAGCUUACCAGAAAGGGACGGCUAACUACGUGCCAGCCGCCGCCGUAA
Molecule: ribosomal RNA, 513 nt
Filed under: uncultured bacterium
Lineage: Bacteria
Description: partial 16S ribosomal RNA
Rfam family: Bacterial small subunit ribosomal RNA
Source: RNAcentral